AAGCAGGAUUCAGGCUAGAAUACAGCUGCUACGUGCUGUGUUAUUGUUCCCCCUGCUCAGAAAUAAUGUUUCUUAAUUAUACCUGUCUAGCAGCCAGGGAUGCUUGUUGUCAGACAU
Molecule: small nucleolar RNA, 117 nt
Organism: Fukomys damarensis (Damara mole-rat)
Lineage: Eukaryota; Metazoa; Chordata; Mammalia; Rodentia; Bathyergidae
Gene: SNORA63
Rfam family: Small nucleolar RNA SNORA63
About the family: E3 belongs to the H/ACA class of snoRNAs and is involved in the processing of eukaryotic pre-rRNA and has regions of complementarity to 18S rRNA.
Source: Ensembl